UGAGAGCGGCGCACGGGUGCGGAACACGUGUGCAACCUGCCUUUAUCUGGGGGAUAGCCUUUCGAAAGGAAGAUUAAUACCCCAUAAUAUGUUGGAUGGCAUCAUUCGACAUUGAAAACUCCGGUGGAUAGAGAUGGGCACGCGCAGGAUUAGAUAGUUGGUGAGGUAACGGCUCACCAAGUCAACGAUCCUUAGGGGGCCUGAGAGGGUGAUCCCCCACACUGGUACUGAGACACGGACCAGACUCCUACGGGAGGCAGCAGUGAGGAAUAUUGGACAAUGGGUGAGAGCCUGAUCCAGCCAUCCCGCGUGAAGGAUGACGGCCCUAUGGGUUGUAAACUUCUUUUGUAUAGGGAUAAACCUACUCUCGUGAGAGUAGCUGAAGGUACUAUACGAAUAAGCACCGGCUAACUCCGUGCCAGCAGCCGCGGUAAUACGGAGGGUGCAAGCGUUAUCCGGAUUUAUUGGGUUUAAAGGGUCCGUAGGCGGAUUUGUAAGUCAGUGGUGAAAUCUCACAGCUUAACUGUGAAACUGCCAUUGAUACUGCAAGUCUUGAGUGUUGUUGAAGUAGCUGGAAUAAGUAGUGUAGCGGUGAAAUGCAUAGAUAUUACUUAGAACACCAAUUGCGAAGGCAGGUUACUAAGCAACAACUGACGCUGAUGGACGAAAGCGUGGGGAGCGAACAGGAUUAGAUACCCUGGUAGUCCACGCCGUAAACGAUGCUAACUCGUUUUUGGUAUUUCGGUAUCAGAGACUA
Molecule: ribosomal RNA, 757 nt
Filed under: Chryseobacterium sp.
Lineage: Bacteria; Pseudomonadati; Bacteroidota; Flavobacteriia; Flavobacteriales; Weeksellaceae
Description: bacterial SSU rRNA
Rfam family: Bacterial small subunit ribosomal RNA
Source: RNAcentral